RNAcentral lists this small nuclear RNA (291 nucleotides) under Ovis aries (sheep). Its description in RNAcentral is "7SK RNA (ENSOARG00000024622.1)". It matches the Rfam family "7SK RNA". Rfam says of the family: 7SK was discovered as an abundant small nuclear RNA in the mid-70s but a possible function has only recently been suggested. Two independent studies have found that 7SK RNA binds the CDK9/cyclin T complex (known as elongation factor P-TEFb). Lineage: Eukaryota; Metazoa; Chordata; Mammalia; Artiodactyla; Bovidae. The record is from Rfam by way of RNAcentral.
GGGCGAUCUGGUUGCGACAUCUGUCACCCCAUUGAUCACCAGAGUUGAUUCGGCUGAUAUAGGGGGCUAGGAAGGUGUCCCCUUCCUCUGUUACCGUUCCGUAUGUGUCCCUCCCAAAGCAAAGAGGACAACCAUCCCUGAUAGAGGAGGACCAGUCUUCAGUCGAGGGUAUACGAAUAGCUGUGCUCCCCUGCUAGAACCUCCAAACAAGCUCUCAAGGUCAUUAAAACUCUUAGCUCAACUAAUAGUACCUAAAGAAUAUUUGCUUGUGCUAAAAAUAAGUUAUGGAGU